This 77-nucleotide unclassified non-coding RNA is filed under the name Kaistella jeonii. RNAcentral's name for it is "Chryseobacterium jeonii Flavo-1 RNA". The record is from RNAcentral. Lineage: Bacteria; Pseudomonadati; Bacteroidota; Flavobacteriia; Flavobacteriales; Weeksellaceae.
UUGCAGCCCGACUUGAACGGAGCUCUUUUUGUGGAGCAAAGCGGAACAAAAAAGCGGGAGUGGAAGGUGGAUUAAGC